RNAcentral lists this ribosomal RNA (253 nucleotides) under uncultured bacterium. RNAcentral describes it as "partial 16S ribosomal RNA". It matches the Rfam family "Bacterial small subunit ribosomal RNA", at positions 524 to 776 of the family's 1533-position model. RNAcentral also lists the same sequence under 1 other name. The record is from RNAcentral.
UACGUAGGUGGCAAGCGUUGUCCGGAAUUAUUGGGCGUAAAGCGCGCGCAGGCGGUCUUUUAAGUCUGAUGUGAAAGAUCGGGGCUCAACCCCGAGAGGUCAUUGGAAACUGGGAGACUUGAGUACAGAAGAGGAGAGUGGAAUUCCACGUGUAGCGGUGAAAUGCGUAGAUAUGUGGAGGAACACCAGUGGCGAAGGCGACUCUCUGGUCUGUAACUGACGCUGAGGCGCGAAAGCGUGGGGAGCAAACAGG